GAAAGAACAGAAAAAAAGAGGAAUAGAACAACUUUG
This 36-nucleotide ribosomal RNA is filed under the name Hemiphaedusa aff. magaensis RM-2016. RNAcentral's name for it is "partial 5.8S rRNA". The record is from RNAcentral. Lineage: Eukaryota; Metazoa; Mollusca; Gastropoda; Stylommatophora; Clausiliidae.